This is a long non-coding RNA of Bicyclus anynana (squinting bush brown), 940 nucleotides long. RefSeq lists it as uncharacterized. Lineage: Eukaryota; Metazoa; Arthropoda; Insecta; Lepidoptera; Nymphalidae. The record is from RefSeq and is a predicted model, not a curated record. The transcript has 2 exons.
UUCCCCGUGGUCCCUGCGCCGUAGUCCCUGCAGGGACCACGGGGAAUAAAUUCCCCGUGGUCCCUGCGAGACAUAUAAUACUGCCGAAUUAAAAAUAUGUAGUGAUCAAUGUUAUAUUCGAUUUAUUUUCAAUAAAUCGGGAAUACUUUUAACGUCAUCGGGAAUACGUUUAACGUAUUGUUAUUGAUUAAAUUUAUCUUAUUAACCGACUUCAAAAAAUGAGGUUAUCAAAAAAAUCACACAUACGUGUAGAAACACGUAUGUUUUUUUAUUUAUUUUUUUUCAUUUUUUUUUAUGUUUUAUUAAUCGGGAAUACGUUUAACGUAUUUUUAUUGAUUAAAUCUAUCUUAUUAACCGACUUCAAAAAAGGAGGUUAUCAAAAAAAUCACACAUACGUGUAGAAACACGUAUGUUUUUUUAUUUUUAUUUUUUUAUGUUUUAUUAAUCGGGAAUACGUUUAACGUAUUUUUAUUGAUUAAAUCUAUCUUAUUAACCGACUUCAAAAAAGAAGGUUAUCAAUUCUACACGUAUGUUUAUUUUUCUUUUUUUAUGUUUGUUACCAUCAUCAUCAUCUUUUAUUUAGUAACUAAUUUCGAUUUUUUUUAUUUGAAAGAGUAUACUUGGUCCCAUCUAUUUUCAUGAAAAUCGGUUUAGUAAUUUUGUAUUAAAAUCAAAAUAACUUAAAUACGUCUUUGAAGUCGGACAUUUUUGAAAAUUUUGCACCUUUUCUUGGUGAGAUCAGAAAGAACAAUCACCCAUAUUUAAUCACUUUUUAACCGACUUCAAAAAUGGAAGGUUCUCGAUUCGACGCGAAUUUCUAUAUUUUAGAUUAAUUAGUACCUUAUAAAUUCGUUAUUUAUUAACGAAUUUCGAUACUUUUUACUUUUCAUCACACUAUUUUCCAUAUUUAUUUGCCAGUUGUAGGAAUCGAACUCACAGC